AGACCGAUAGCGAACAAGUACCGUGAGGGAAAGAUGAAAAGCACUUUGGAAAGAGAGUUAAACAGUACGUGAAAUUGUUAAAAGGGAAACGAUUGAAGUCAGUCGUGCUCUCUGGGACUCAGCCGGUUCUUCCGGUGUACUUCCCAGUGAGCGGGUCAACAUCAGUUUAGAUCGCUGGAUAAAGGUAUUAGGAAGGUGGCUCCCUCGGGAGUGUUAUAGCCUAGUAUCGCAUACAGUGGUUUAGACUGAGGAACGCAGCUCGCCUUUAUGGCCGGGGUUCGCCCACGUCCGAGCUUAGGAUGUUGACAUAAUGGCUUUAAACGACCCGUCUUGAAACACGGACCAAG
Molecule: ribosomal RNA, 347 nt
Filed under: Holtermanniella wattica
Lineage: Eukaryota; Fungi; Basidiomycota; Tremellomycetes; Holtermanniales
Description: LSU rRNA
Rfam family: Eukaryotic large subunit ribosomal RNA
Source: RNAcentral